AUUGAACGCUGGCGGCAUGCCUUACACAUGCAAGUCGAACGGUAACGGGCCUUCGGGUGCCGACGAGUGGCGAACGGGUGAGUAAUACAUCGGAACGUUCCCGAUCGUGGGGGAUAACGAGGCGAAAGCUUUGCUAAUACCGCAUACGAUCUACGGAUGAAAGCAGGGGACCGCAAGGCCUUGCGCGGACGGAGCGGCCGAUGGCAGAUUAGGUAGUUGGUGGGAUAAAAGCUUACCAAGCCGACGAUCUGUAGCUGGUCUGAGAGGAUGAUCAGCCACACUGGGACUGAGACACGGCCCAGACUCCUACGGGAGGCAGCAGUGGGGAAUUUUGGACAAUGGGCGCAAGCCUGAUCCAGCCAUGCCGCGUGCAGGAUGAAGGCUUUCGGGUUGUAAACUGCUUUUGUACGGAACGAAAAGCCUUCUUUUAAUACAGGAGGGUCAUGACGGUACCGUAAGAAUAAGCACCGGCUAACUACGUG
Molecule: ribosomal RNA, 482 nt
Filed under: uncultured bacterium
Lineage: Bacteria
Description: partial 16S ribosomal RNA
Rfam family: Bacterial small subunit ribosomal RNA
Source: RNAcentral